This 594-nucleotide long non-coding RNA is filed under the name Homo sapiens (human). Its description in RNAcentral is "HSALNT0273384". The record is from RNAcentral. Lineage: Eukaryota; Metazoa; Chordata; Mammalia; Primates; Hominidae.
CUUAAGAGCUGUAACACCUUGAGGGUCCGCGGCUUCAUUCUUGAAGUCAGUGAGACCAAGAACCCACCAAUUCCGGACACACCAUCUGGGGGUGGCAGAGACAGAGACAGAUCAUCAGGCACUAGAUUCUCAUAAGGAGCGUGCAUCCUAGAUCCCUCACACGUGCAGUUCACAAUAGGGUUCAUGCUCCUAUGAGACUCUACGGCCGACGCUGAUCUGACAGGAGGCAGAGCUCAGGCCUAACGCCAGCGAUGGGGAGUGGCUUGGAUUUACAUUUUAGAAUUUGGAAUAACUUCAGUCCACAAACUCUCAGGACGUGCUGGCGCAUUGUUGAUGUGCUUCAAGAGGUUUACAGUCAGCACAGGGCAGGACCCCCAUCGCAAACGACGCCCCGCACUGGGACAGGCAAGGAGGAAGCAAACGCACAAACCAGGAAAGUGGAGAUGUGUUGCCACACGUUAGCUCUGAAUUAUUGCUAGGCUGUGAGAAUGAAAUGAAGGUAAUAAAUAAAAUGUGUGGUUUCCACAAGCUUUCCUUCUCUUAUUGCCUCUUAAAUAUUGAAACUGUUUGUGAUGUAGUAUUCGUUGAUUUGCC